GACGAACGCUGGCGGCGUGCCUAAUACAUGCAAGUAGGACGCACAGUCUAUACCGUAGCUUGCUACACCAUAGGCUGUGAGUUGCGAACGGGUGAGUAACGCGUAGGUAACCUGCCUAUUAGAGGGGGAUAACUAUUGGAAACGAUAGCUAAUACCGCAUAACAGUAUGUAACACAUGUUAGAUGCUUGAAAGAUGCAAUUGCAUCGCUAGUAGAUGGACCUGCGUUGUAUUAGCUAGUAGGUAGGGUAAUGGCCUACCUAGGCGACGAUACAUAGCCGACCUGGGAGGGUGAUCGGCCACACUGGGACUGAAACACGGCCCAGACUCCUACGGGAGGCAGCAGUAGGGAAUCUUCGGCAAUGGGGGGAACCCUGACCGAGCAACGCCGCGUGAGUGAAGAAGGUUUUCGGAUCGUAAAGCUCUGUUGUUAAGGAAGAACGAGUGUGAGAAUGGAAAGUUCAUACUGUGACGGUACUUAACCAGAAAGGGACGGCUAACUACGUG
RNAcentral lists this ribosomal RNA (505 nucleotides) under uncultured bacterium. Its description in RNAcentral is "partial 16S ribosomal RNA". It matches the Rfam family "Bacterial small subunit ribosomal RNA", at positions 28 to 507 of the family's 1533-position model. The record is from RNAcentral.